CAGUAGCCACGGUAAUACGUAUGUCACAAGCGUUAUCCGGAUUUAUUGGGCGUAAAGCGCGUCUAGGUGGUUAUGUAAGUCUGAUGUGAAAAUGCAGGGCUCAACUCUGUAUUGCGUUGGAAACUGUGUAACUAGAGUACUGGAGAGGUAAGCGGAACUACAAGUGUAGAGGUGAAAUUCGUAGAUAUUUGUAGGAAUGCCGAUGGGGAAGCCAGCUUACUGGACAGAUACUGACGCUGAAGCGCGAAAGCGUGGGUAGCGAACAGGAUUAGAUACCCCCGUAGUCCCUGUCUCUUAUACC
Molecule: ribosomal RNA, 301 nt
Filed under: uncultured bacterium
Lineage: Bacteria
Description: partial 16S ribosomal RNA
Rfam family: Bacterial small subunit ribosomal RNA
Source: RNAcentral